ACGGCUCAGUAACACGUGGAUAACCUACCCUUAGGACCGGGAUAACCCUGGGAAACUGGGGAUAAUACUGGAUAGGCAAUUUUUCCUGUAAUGGUUUUUUGUUUAAAUGUUUUUUCGCCUAAGGAUGGGUCUGCGGCCGAUUAGGUAGUUGGUUAGGUAAUGGCUUACCAAGCCGUUGAUCGGUACGGGUUGUGAGAGCAAGAGCCCGGAGAUGGAACCUGAGACAAGGUUCCAGGCCCUACGGGGUGCAGCAGGCGCGAAACCUCCGCAAUGUGAGAAAUCGCGACGGGGGGAUUCCAAGUGCCAUUCUUAACGGGAUGGCUUUUCAUUAGUGUAAAGAGCUUUUGGAAUAAGAGCUGGGCAAGACCGGUGCCAGCCGCCGCGGUAACACCGGCAGCUCUAGUGGUAGCUGUUUUUAUUGGGCCUAAAGCGUUCGUAGCCGGUUUGAUAAGUCUCUGGUGAAAUCCUGUAGCUUAACUGUGGGAAUUGCUGGUGAUACUGUUGAACUUGAGGUCGGGAGAGGUUAGCGGUACUCCCAGGGUAGAGGUGAAAUUCUGUAAUCCUGGGAGGACCACCUGUGGCGAAGGCGGCUAACUGGAACGAACCUGACGGUGAGGGACGAAAGCUAGGGGCGCGAACCGGAUUAGAUACCCGGGUAGUCCUAGCCGUAAACGAUGCGGACUUGGUGUUGGGGUGGCUUUGAGCUGUUUCGGUGCCGUAG
Molecule: ribosomal RNA, 721 nt
Filed under: uncultured archaeon
Lineage: Archaea
Description: bacterial SSU rRNA
Rfam family: Archaeal small subunit ribosomal RNA
Source: RNAcentral